Long non-coding RNA from Ctenopharyngodon idella (grass carp), 441 nucleotides. RefSeq lists it as uncharacterized. Lineage: Eukaryota; Metazoa; Chordata; Actinopteri; Cypriniformes; Xenocyprididae. The transcript is spliced from 3 exons. The record is from RefSeq and is a predicted model, not a curated record.
UGGAAUAGAAAGUGAAAGUUUGAAUCUGACCUGCUUGUGAAAGACAAUCGCAUCUCAGCACAGAAGGAAGUCAUCAAAUUAAUUUCAAAAUUUGAAAGAAACAUUUAAACAAUGUCUUUUGUACAUGAACCUAAUGAAAAAAAAAACUCCUCACCAAUAAGAUAACUUGAAGGAAGAGCUUUGAGGAACAGAGAACUAUGGAUUCAGUAGGAGUGAAUGUGAUUGAAACAGCAGCUAUUGGAGACCUUUCCAGCUCGGCAUGCUGUAUGACUGCAGAAAGGACGAGUUAAUACCAGCAUCAUUACCCCAGUCCCUGAGAUGGCUCCUAUCUGACAGGUGACAGCAGAGCUGGCUCUGCUAAGUGAAAGACACGGGCUCACCAUGGGGAGUUGACCGUAGACAAAUACACACAUGGGACCACUCACGUGGAGGGGUCACGGC